RNA transcript from Sinocyclocheilus rhinocerous, 3894 nucleotides. It is a transcript of the gene named myotubularin related protein 12, with no coding region annotated. NCBI's taxonomy places the organism in Eukaryota, Metazoa, Chordata, Actinopteri, Cypriniformes, Cyprinidae. The record is from RefSeq and is a predicted model, not a curated record. The transcript has 17 exons.
UGAUGUCGAACGGGCGCGGUUUGCUGUCUGAGCAGGUCUGCCUUCCAGCCAAAGGAAAUCGCGCUUGUGAAAGGAGAGGUGGAGAGUGAGCGAGCAGAGAGGGAGAGGAAAGUUGGGCUGCUCGAGCUCCCCCGGAUUUCCACCUGACUGCUCAGGAAGCGGGAUACUGGGACAGGCAAAAUGUUGAGUUUGGGCAGCGUAGGAGCGAAGUCUACUAAACCGUCAUUCGUGUCUUAUGUUACACCCGAGGAAAUAAAAUUGGAGAAAGAACCACCAAAGAUAGAGAAACAUCCCGAUUUGCUGCCAGGUGAAGUGGAGUUCUGUAGCGCCAACCCCAUUCUCAAAUACACUCAAGAUGAUAUGUCCCAGCGUGGCAUCUUUGGCACAUUGUUCUGCACCAAUUUUCGUGUUACAUUCAUUAGUGAUGAGAAAUCACAGGAGGAGACGACCAAGACCUUUAAGAACAAACUCUAUGGAGAAAAUGACAUUCCAUUAAUGUGCGUGGAUCACAUCUAUGGUGUUUACGAUGAAAAGAAAAAACUGAUAACAGGAGGCCUUGUGAAGAACAAAUAUCCAUCCAAAAUGAUCAUUCACUGUAAAGACCUACGAGUCUUUCAGUUCUGUCUGACAUUCACCAAGGAGGAAGAUGCCAAAAAGAUCUUUCAGGGUAUUGCUCACCAUUGUUUGGAGGAGAAAUCUCUGAAGUGUGUCUUUGCUUUUUCCUAUUCAGGGACACCAAGCCCAGAAAUGCAGAGGAAACGGGAGACAAUUCUGUUUGACUCACCAGAGGACUGGACCCAGGAAAUGAAACGGACGAGGGCGAACUGUAGACUAGUCACUGAAAACGUGAACUUUGAACUCUCUCAAAGAUUACCGAAGUACUUUGUCAUCCCAUCAGCACUAGGGGAUUUAUUCAGCUACCAAGGAAAGGGAUUUCCAAUUUGGUGUUGGUCUCAUCACAGCGGUUGUGCUCUCUUCAAAGCAUCUUUACCGCCUGUGACACAGGAAGAUGGGGAUUUCCAAAAGCACUUGGACAUAAUGAUAAAUGCAGUUGCACAUAAUUACCUUUACUCUGCAAAAACAGAGGACCUCUCAGAAUCACUUCCUACUAUCCAAGACAUCCAGCAAUCAUAUAACAAGUUCAAACAAUUCUUUCUUAUCGAAAAUUCAACUGAUUUUUGGUUGUCAGAUGUGAAAUGGUUCUCUUCCCUUGAAAGUUCAGGAUGGCUAGACAUUAUUAGACAAUGUCUCCAAAAAGCAGUAGAGGUGGUUGAAUGUCUUGAAAAGGACAACACAAAUGUUCUUAUAACAGAGGAAGAGGGAACAGAUCUGUGCUGUGUGAUCUCCAGUCUGGUUCAGAUAAUGCUGGACCCUUAUUACAGAACACUGAUGGGUUUCCAGAGUCUGGUGCAGAAGGAGUGGGUGGCUGGUUGCCAUGCCUUCCUGGAUCGAUGUAAUCACCUCCAUCAGAAAGACAAGGAGUGUCAUUCUCCAGUCUUCCUCCUGUUCCUGGAGUGCGUGUGGCAGCUUGUUCAGCAGCACAGCCCGGCCUUCCAGUUCUCCGAGACUUACCUGACUGUGCUGUCUGACAGUGUUGAUGUGCCAGUCUUUAGCACCUUUCUGUUCAACUCUGCCCAUCACAGAGAAAGUGUUAUGAAGGCAGAGUCACCGCUUGCACAAAGCAGCCCAUUGAGCUGCCCUACAGUGUGGGACUGGUCUGUGCAGUUUGACAGCAAGGCCCAGAAUUUCUUCUUUAACCCCCUGUAUUCAGAAAAGGUGAAACAUGAGAAAGCUGUACGCAAAGCUCACAAGCCCAAGCACCAAAGACAGUUAUCCUUACCCAGCACAGCUUUCAAACUCCCGUCCAAGAAAGGUUUCUUUAAGGACGAGACCGACAGCCUUAAAAAGAUGCUACGAGUGAAGCGUCUCAGUCGCUGGAUGGGCUCUCCUGACUCCCCCACUGCCACCACCCGAGGGUUCUAUGAGUCCUGGCAACAACGUCCUCUGGACUAUCACGGCCUCCUGCUCCCCUGUCUGGAUGGGCCGGCUGUCCGCGUCUGGAUUCAGCGAUACCUGCGCUGGAUACCUGAGGUGCACAUCAUGGGCGGAGGCUCUGUGGCCGUCAUGACCAAGCUUAUGGAACUUCUAAGUCAGGUGCAGGAUCUGAAGCGUGUGCUGGAGCAAAGAGACUCCUCACAAGCUGUUAAACUUGAUCACCGUCCAUACAUUCAGCACCGGCUGCUGUCGUUCGGCUCCUCGGGACGAUUGUCAUCCUCAUUCCCCUUCGCUUACAGCCGCAACCGAUCUUUCAAGCCCAUCAUUCCUACAGGUCUGAUGCAAAGCCUUAUGGUAACUGACAGCCUAGCCAGUCAGGAAGAUGAGGCCAGUUCGUUUGUGAGUUUGGUUUAACAGAGAGCCUUUUUUCACCCAUAUGUUGAUAUCUGUAUAUUAUAUGGAUAUUAUUAAAUUAUAAUAUUAUGAGGUAAAUACAGGAUUAUAGUGGCCUUGUCAGAUUCAAAUUAGGUGCUGAAAGUGCCCUUGAUGCUAAAGCGGGUCCUUUUGGAAAGUAAAACAGGUUUUUGUCAAACCACAAUAUGAGCCUUCAGACAGGAUGUAAGCUCUUUUAUUUUCGAUGUUCUUAAUGGAACAAUACCUGGAAUUGCUCUCUUGCUCAUCACGAAAGAGGAACAGGAUAUAGCCCUGAGUUUCCAGCCUUUCCACAGUGCAGUGUUACAUAAAAUCAUCACCAAGUAACAUUCCAUACAGUAUUCCAUUCCAGUGGUCUACGGAUAGAUGAGCUUAUCCUGAAUAAUAGCAACCAUUAUAAAGAGUUAUAAAUACAUCUGACUUCCACACUUCUCUGACUCCUCACAUAAUAUAGCUCCUGAUGUACUCAGUGGUUUGUACACGCCUCUGCAGUGCUUGAAGCAUGUUUUCAGCUUUCUCUGGCAGUGAAAAGUAUCCAAAGAAGGUUAGCCAAGGAGAAUAGCGUGGAGCCAUCUACAGGUAUAUUAUUGUUACUGCUGCAUUUAAAAUGUAUUGAGGAUUAGACUGUAAUUACUGUGGUCCGAUGUGACCUAGCAUUUCUUUUCCCCAGAUGCCAAGUCAACCUUCGGGUAUAUAAAUGUUUAAUGUGUGAAAAAUUUUUUUUUGUCUAAACAGGAAGUAUGGAUCAGUACAUGAGAUCAGCUGUCUCAGAGUUUCAGUGCUCUGUUGUAUAAUGUACACUGUGGGGCUCUUAGCUAUAUAUAAUGGAAAAUCAUAGUAAACUGCAAGCCUUUGCAAAUAUAAUUAUUUAAACAUAAGCUAAUGUAAUUCUGUAUCUGCAUUUGUGCACAUUUCCUUUGCAGUACUACUGCCACAAAUCAACAGGCACUUCAUUCAAAAAAACAAAAAAAAUGUUGUUCAAAUUGCAUUUGAAAUGUAAUGAAGCUGAUGUAAGCUGAAAUCACUGAAGCACUGAGCUGUUAUUUGCUGGCAAGUGUGUGGAGAAAGCCGUUUCCUGAGCAUUUUGUUUUUGUUUGCACCCCUUCCACUUAUGUUUUGCACUACCCUGCCAGUCAAUCACUGUUACUUGAACAGUCAGCUGUAAAUCUGAUUCUGUUCACUUCAGUUCAGUACUUCUCUUGUGUAUAACAAGUGAUUUCAAGCUGGAUUUGAAACUUAUUACUGUAUAAUUGUUUUGUAUUUUUCUAUAACUAACUUUUAAUGUUCAUAAUAUCAGAGUUUGGCCUUGAAAUAUGAAAUAUGUCAGAUUGCUUUAUUUUGUACCAUUGAGUUCAAAAUGAUCAUUUUCAUGUAAAAGUAGCAUUAAAUACUUUUAUAUAUGCACUUAAGAAAUAUGUCACUCUUUUUGUCCACAGAAUAUGAUUGAAAUAAAAGGCUAGAUCAGUG